UACGGAGGGGGCUAGCGUUGUUCGGAAUUACUGGGCGUAAAGCGCGCGCAGGCGGCCAUUCAAGUCAGGGGUGAAAGCCCAGAGCUCAACUCUGGAACUGUCCUUGAAACUGUAUGGCUUGAGUAUGAGAGAGGUGAGUGGAAUUCCCAGUGUAGAGGUGAAAUUCGUAGAUAUUGGGAAGAACACCGGUGGCGAAGGCGGCUCACUGGCUCAUUACUGACGCUCAGGCGCGACAGCGUGGGGAUCAAACAGG
RNAcentral lists this ribosomal RNA (253 nucleotides) under uncultured bacterium. RNAcentral's name for it is "partial 16S ribosomal RNA". It matches the Rfam family "Bacterial small subunit ribosomal RNA", at positions 524 to 776 of the family's 1533-position model. The record is from RNAcentral.